Long non-coding RNA from Macaca mulatta (Rhesus monkey), 1576 nucleotides. Lineage: Eukaryota; Metazoa; Chordata; Mammalia; Primates; Cercopithecidae. The record is from Ensembl.
GCUGGCAGCACACCGUCUGCUCUUUCACCUGCUCUCGUAACUGUGCCUGCUCCUCCUGGGCACUGGCUCCAGUGGACUUGAAAAAUGCCACCUGAGGGCAAGAUCUGGACUUGUUUAAGCAACUCCUUCAACUGCAAGAAUGGGCACAGAAGUUAGGAAGGGCUGUCACUGGUCCUCACCUGCUCCUGGCCACCUGGGGUCAUCUUCCUUCCACAUACCGCCCUCUGCAAAACCUCACCCGUGUCAGGUGUGCUUUCAGCCGUGCCUUCUCCUGUAUGGACUGCUCUAACUGCCACUCAUGCAAGUACCCAAUACCGCACCUAGGACUUGGCCAAGACCACCAUCAGGUAAGGACAGGGCAGGCACUUGACCUACAAGCUCUGCGUCCAGUGCUUUAUAAAAAAUAAAUAUAUAUUUAAAAAAUAUAUGUCUCCUGUCCUGGGGACAGGGGGCCCAAGGGGCAGUAGAGGGUAAUUGUUAAAAUUGUGGAUGGACUGUUGGGUACUGGUUAAGAAUUCUGGGUUUAAAAAAUAUGUAUUUAAAUAUAUAUAUUUAAAACUUUAAAAAAUAUAUAUAUAUCCGUGUAUGUCUGUGUAUGUGUAUCUAUGUGUUCUUCCAGAGCUUUCUUCAUUACUCAGCUUCUAUGCAAGGUCUAUGAUUUUGGCCUGUAUUUUUCAUCUUCAAAUACAGUGCAAAAAUUACCCGUAAUACCUUAACUGAGAUACAGAUCCUAUAAAAAUGGAAAAUCUGUAGCAUGCUUGAUGAUUAAUGAAGUAGACUAUAUUAUCCAACAUUCCAAUAAGAUAAAAUAAUCACACUGAUUUCUCUUUUUUGGAAAAACAUUUCUCUUAUUUUCCUACAUUAUUGUUAAGAUAUUUUUUCUUAAACAAGAAACAUGUCUAAUAUCUGUAAAAACACAAAACUUUUGGGCCAGAUGCAGUGGCUCACACCUGUAAUCCCAGCACUUUGGGAGCCCAAGGUGGGUGGAUCACCUGAGGUCAGGAGUUUGAGACCAGCCUGGCCAACAUGGUGAAACCCAGUCUCUACUAAAAACACAAAAACUAGCCAGGUGUGGUGGUGGGUGCCUGUAAUCCCAGCUAUUCAGGAGGCUGAGGCAGGAGAAUCACUUGAACCUGGGAGAUGGAGGUUGCAGUGAGCCAAGCUCAUGCCAUUGCGCUCCAGCCUGGGUGACAGAGUGAGACUCCAUCUCAAAAUAAAUAAGAUACAAAAUAAAUUUUAAAAGCUUUCAUUUUAAUAAGCACUCAAAACUCUUUAACAAUUUAAAACAAAUAGAAGGCUUAUUUUUCUAGGAUCACCUGGCUUCUCUAAGCCUUGCAAAUGAAACUGAAUUUCUCACUUGAUACUUGGCUAUGACUUGCAAUCAUGAAAACCAAGAAUUGUGUUAUGUCACUGUGUACUGCUUGUUACCUGAAUUUCACACAAGGCUGGGAGUUUUUGUAACCUCAAUGACAAAUAAAAGGUUUGUAUCCUUAGCCUAUAAAGAAAUCUUUUAAAUUACUCAGAAAAAAACCAAAUGAUUUUCAACAGAAAAUGGGAUAUGAAGAAACAGGCAUUU